Molecule: ribosomal RNA, 253 nt
Filed under: uncultured bacterium
Lineage: Bacteria
Description: partial 16S ribosomal RNA
Rfam family: Bacterial small subunit ribosomal RNA
Source: RNAcentral
UACGUAGGGUGCAAGCGUUGUCCGGAAUUAUUGGGCGUAAAGAGCUUGUAGGCGGUUUGUCGCGUCUGCUGUGAAAUUUCGGGGCUCAACCCCGAACUUGCAGUGGGUACGGGCAGACUAGAGUGUGGUAGGGGAGACUGGAAUUCCUGGUGUAGCGGUGAAAUGCGCAGAUAUCAGGAGGAACACCGAUGGCGAAGGCAGGUCUCUGGGCCAUAACUGACGCUGAGACGCGAAAGCAUGGGGAGCGAACAGG